AGAGCACAUCUUGCGGAAGACGCAUGACCAGCCAGCGCGGGCCGCGGUGCGCAGGCACGCUUGCAGCCCCGGGCCUCACUAAACCAACAUAUGGGAAUGCAUCUAUCUUCAUCGCACGUGUUCGGCGAGACCAACUUCCGCCUGCUCCACCUUUCCACCCCCCCUCCCUCCGCGCCUCCCCCCCCCAGCUGCCCCACUCACUGACACGCGAGGGGGAAGCGGGAGCGAGAGCAUACGAGGGCAACGCCUUGUGCUCCCUUGCAAUCUUUGCAUCGUGCGGCAGGGAGAACGUGUAUACCGCAGGGAGAGUGUGACGGUGGCAACGUCAUCUUGUGCGGCCUGCCUGGCAUGCUUGCUCGCAUGUAACCGGGCGUCCUCGCGAUGCUGUCCCUGGAAC
RNAcentral lists this long non-coding RNA (397 nucleotides) under Chlamydomonas reinhardtii. Its description in RNAcentral is "long non-coding RNA (CREI_LNC000341)". The record is from RNAcentral. Lineage: Eukaryota; Viridiplantae; Chlorophyta; Chlorophyceae; Chlamydomonadales; Chlamydomonadaceae.